Small nucleolar RNA from Impatiens glandulifera, 124 nucleotides. Lineage: Eukaryota; Viridiplantae; Streptophyta; Magnoliopsida; Ericales; Balsaminaceae. The record is from RefSeq and is a predicted model, not a curated record.
ACUAAUACUGUGGAUUAAUUUGUUCCUAAGUUUAAUGCCACGGAUGAAAUAUGAAUGUUGUGGUAUAUCCUGAUUAUUAGUUUCUACUUUGUGUUAUUUAAUCUUGAAAACGCUAUUUAAAUUU